Nicotiana attenuata is the source of this 707-nucleotide long non-coding RNA. RefSeq lists it as uncharacterized. The transcript is spliced from 2 exons. The record is from RefSeq and is a predicted model, not a curated record. Lineage: Eukaryota; Viridiplantae; Streptophyta; Magnoliopsida; Solanales; Solanaceae.
UAGGCCCAAAACAGUUGCUUGCAAAGCCCAGUAUUUCAAAUUCUGCGGAUUUGAGAAAAAAUUCUUGUGACGCAAGAGCCCUGCUUCAGUACCAAAACCCUUACAUACAAAUCGGAUCAUUAUCAUAUUCAUCUGUUCAUCUGCAAUCGAUUAACCGUAAGGCUCAAGCAAUUUCCGUGCUCUUGAGAUUGAGAUAUCAAUCAGAAGUACAGCUCCGAAAUGGCGUUAACGAACUUUAUACUGACGGUGGUGGGAGUAGGCGCCGUGGUUUUACUGGUGAGGAGCGACAUCAAACAGUCUGCCUCCAUCUUCAAGCGUAACGUCCGUCAAAUUCGCCAUUGGCUCGAGGAAGAGUCCGCUUCCGCCGCUAAGGAAAUAGAGAAGGCAAACCCAAAGGAGAUACCUAAGAAGGAUAUUCCCAAGGAGGAGAAGCAUUAGAUUUGACUCUUUCCCCGCUAAUGUUUCAAAUUUUUGGUCCAUAGAGUAUUUUCUAUGUCGUUUUCUAGCCCCUCAACUAGUGGCACUCUAUGCUUGUUAAGGUUAACACAAUAUAAUGAUUGGUGUAUGUGUCCUGCUACACACUAUUUUUCUUCUGAUAUAUACUGAGAUGUAUAGAUUAUGCAACAACGUAAAGAUUUGAACUGGUUGUUGGACGCGAUGAACAACUGAUUUUGAUACUUAAUGUCAUGAUGAGCUAUUUCACAUUC